AGUGAACGCUGGCGGUAGGCCUAACACAUGCAAGUCGAACGGCAGCACAGUAAGAGCUUGCUCUUACGGGUGGCGAGUGGCGGACGGGUGAGGAAUACAUCGGAAUCUACUUUUUCGUGGGGGAUAACGUAGGGAAACUUACGCUAAUAUCGCAUACGACCUACGGGUGAAAGCAGGGGAUCUUCGGAACUUGCGCGAUUGAAUGAGCCGAUGUCGGAUUAGCUAGUUGGCGGGGUAAAGGCCCACCAAGGCGACGAUCCGUAGCUGGUCUGAGAGGAUGAUCAGCCACACUGGAACUGAGACACGGUCCAGACUCCUACGGGAGGCAGCAGUGGGGAAUAUUGGACAAUGGGCGCAAGCCUGAUCCAGCCAUACCGCGUGGGUGAAGAAGGCCUUCGGGUUGUAAAGCCCUUUUGUUGGGAAAGAAAAGCAGCAGGUUAAUACCCCGCUGUUCUGACGGUACCCAAAGAAUAAGCACUGGCUAACUUCGUG
Molecule: ribosomal RNA, 492 nt
Filed under: uncultured bacterium
Lineage: Bacteria
Description: partial 16S ribosomal RNA
Rfam family: Bacterial small subunit ribosomal RNA
Source: RNAcentral